This 402-nucleotide ribosomal RNA is filed under the name uncultured prokaryote. RNAcentral's name for it is "bacterial SSU rRNA". It matches the Rfam family "Bacterial small subunit ribosomal RNA", at positions 355 to 774 of the family's 1533-position model. The record is from RNAcentral.
UGGGGAAUAUUGGACAAUGGGGGCAACCCUGAUCCAGCCAUGCCGCGUGAGUGAAGAAGGCCUUAGGGUUGUAAAGCUCUUUCGGCGGGGACGAUGAUGACGGUACCCGCAGAAGAAGCCCCGGCUAACUCCGUGCCAGCAGCCGCGGUAAUACGGAGGGGGCGAGCGUUGUUCGGAAUUACUGGGCGUAAAGCGCACGUAGGCGGCGUGUCAAGUCGGGGGUGAAAGGCCUGGGCUUAACCUGGGAACUGCCCUUGAUACUGGCAUGCUGGAGUCCGGGAGGGGGUUGCGGAAUUCCCAGUGUAGAGGUGAAAUUCGUAGAUAUUGGGAAGAACACCGGUGGCGAAGGCGGCCACCUGGCCCGGUACUGACGCUGAGGUGCGAAAGCGUGGGGAGCAAACA